GGUCAAGCUACAAAGGGCGCAUGGUGAAUGCCUUGGCAUCAGGAGCCGAUGAAGGACGUGAUAAGCUGCGAUAAGCUUCGGGUAGGCGCACAUAGCCUGAGAUCCGAAGAUCUCCGAAUGAGGAAACUCACAUGGGAAACCCCAUGUAUCAUUAAGUGAAUACAUAGCUUAAUGAAGGUAACCCAGGGAACUGAAACAUCUAAGUACCUGGAGGAAGAGAAAGAAAAAUCGAUUUUCUUAGUAGCGGCGAGCGAAAGGGAAAGAGCCCAAACCGGAAACUUGUUUCCGGGGUUGUGGACAUAACAUAAAAGUGGAGGCUAUUGUAACUGAAGAGAACUGGAAAGUUCCACCGUAGAAGGUAAUAGUCCUGUAAGUGAAACGAGAAGACCACGAGUUAUGAUCCAGAGUACCACGAGACACGUGAAACCUUGUGGGAAGCAGGGAGGACCACCUCCCAAGGCUAAAUACUACCUGAUGACCGAUAGUGAAGCAGUACCGUGAGGGAAAGGUGAAAAGAACCCCGGGAGGGGAGUGAAAUAGAACCUGAAACCGUGUGCCUACAACCGCUCAGAGCCCCUUAUGAGGGUGAUGAGGUGCUUUUUGUAGAACGAGCCAACGAGUUACGGUAUGUAGCAAGGUUAAGUACUUAAGGUACGGAGCCGAAGGGAAACCGAGUCUGAAUAGGGCGACUAGUUGCAUGCCGUAGACCCGAAACCGGGUGACCUAUCCAUGGCCAGGUUGAAGCGAGGGUAAAACCUCGUGGAGGACCGAACCACGUUGCUGUUGAAAAAGCAUGGGAUGAGCUGUGGAUAGCGGAGAAAUUCCAAUCGAACCCGGAGAUAGCUGGUUCUCUCCGAAAUAGCUUUAGGGCUAGCGUCGAGUAUGAGUAGUGGAGGUAGAGCACUGAAUGGGCUAGGGGGCAUAGCGCUUACCGAACCUUAUCAAACUCCGAAUGCCACAUACUUUGAGCUCGGCAGUCAGACUACGAAUGAUAAGAUCCGUGGUCAAAAGGGAAACAGCCCAGAUCGUCAGCUAAGGUCCCAAAGUGUAAGUUAAGUGGGAAAGGAUGUGAGAUUUCUAAGACAACUAGGAUGUUGGCUUAGAAGCAGCCAUUCAUUAAAAGAGUGCGUAAUAGCUCACUAGUCGAGAGAUCUUGCGCCGAAAAUGUAACGGGGCUAAACUUACCACCGAAGCUACGGGCUUGAACUUAGUUCAAGCGGUAGGAGAGCGUCGUAACCGGGCUGAAGUCGUACCGUAAGGAGCGGUGGACUGGUUACGAGUGAGAAUGUUGGCAUCAGUAGCGAGAUGUGGGUGAGAAUCCCACAGGCCGAAAACCUAAGGUUUCCUCAGGAAGGUUCGUCCGCUGAGGGUUAGUCGGGACCUAAGCCGAGGCCGAAAGGCGUAGGUGAUGGACAACUGGUUGAUAUUCCAGUACCACUACCAUCGUUAUUAUCGAUGGCGUGACGCAGGAGGAUAGUGUGUGCUAGCUAUUGGAUGCUAGUCUAAGCGUUUAGGCAGUGAGAGUAGGCAAACCCGCUCUCAUAAUGCUGAGGCGUGAUGGGGAAGGUUCUACGGAACCGAAGUACAUGAUUCCACGCUGCCAAGAAAAGCGUCUAGAGAGAGAAGUAGUGCCCGUACCGCAAACCGACACAGGUAGGUGAGGAGAGAAUCCUAAGGCCGGCGGAAGAAUUACAGUUAAGGAACUCGGCAAAUUGACCCCGUAAGUUCGCGAGAAGGGGUGCCUACGAGAGUAGGCCGCAGAGAAUAGGCCCAAGCAACUGUUUAGCAAAAACACAGGUCUCUGCUAAAGCGUAAGCUGAUGUAUAGGGGCUGACGCCUGCCCGGUGCUGGAAGGUUAAGGGGAACACUUAGCGCAAGCGAAGGUGUGAACUUAAGCCCCAGUAAACGGCGGCCGUAACUAUAACGGUCCUAAGGUAGCGAAAUUCCUUGUCAGGUAAGUUCUGACCCGCACGAAUGGCGUAAUGACUUGGGCACUGUCUCAACUGUAAAUCCGGCGAAGUUGUAGUGCGAGUGAAGAUGCUCGCUACCCGCGAUUGGACGGAAAGACCCCGUAGAGCUUUACUGUAGCUUAGCAUUGAGUUUUGGUAUUGUCUGUACAGGAUAGGUGGGAGACUAGGAAACCAGGGCGUCAGCCUUGGUGGAGUCAACCUUGGGAUACCACCCUGACAGUACUGAAAUUCUAACUGGCGGCCAUGAAUCUGGUCACAGGACAUUGUUAGGUGGGCAGUUUGACUGGGGCGGUCGCCUCCUAAAAAGUAACGGAGGCGCCCAAAGGUUCCCUCAGAACGGUCGGAAAUCGUUCGAAGAGUGCAAAGGCAGAAGGGAGCCUGACUGCGACACCCACAAGUGGAGCAGGGACGAAAGUCGGGCUUAGUGAUCCGGUGGUACCUCGUGGGAGGGCCAUCGCUCAACGGAUAAAAGCUACCUCGGGGAUAACAGGCUGAUCUCCCCCAAGAGUCCACAUCGACGGGGAGGUUUGGCACCUCGAUGUCGGCUCGUCGCAUCCUGGGGCUGAAGUAGGUCCCAAGGGUUGGGCUGUUCGCCCAUUAAAGCGGCACGCGAGCUGGGUUCAGAACGUCGUGAGACAGUUCGGUCCCUAUCCGUCGCGGGCGUAGGAAAUUUGAGAGGAGCUGUCCUUAGUACGAGAGGACCGGGAUGGACUGACCUCUGGUGUACCAGUUGUUCCGCCAGGAGCACAGCUGGGUAGCUAAGUCGGGAAUGGAUAAACGCUGAAAGCAUCUAAGCGUGAAGCCAACCUCAAGAUGAGAUUUCCCAUAGCGUAAGCUAGUAAGAUCCCUUGAAGAACACAAGGUUGAUAGGUCGGGGGUGUAAGCAUGGUAACAUGUUCAGCUGACCGAUACUAAUAGAUCGAGGGCUUGACCAA
This 2905-nucleotide ribosomal RNA is filed under the name Clostridium perfringens. RNAcentral describes it as "23S ribosomal RNA". It matches the Rfam family "Bacterial large subunit ribosomal RNA". The record is from RNAcentral. Lineage: Bacteria; Bacillati; Bacillota; Clostridia; Eubacteriales; Clostridiaceae.